UAGGGAAUCUUCGGCAAUGGACGAAAGUCUGACCGAGCAACGCCGCGUGAGUGAAGAAGGUUUUCGGAUCGUAAAACUCUGUUGGUAGAGAAGAACGUUUGGUGAGAGUGGAAAGCUCAUCAAGUGACGGUAACUACCCAGAAAGGGACGGCUAACUACGUGCCAC
This 166-nucleotide ribosomal RNA is filed under the name uncultured bacterium. RNAcentral's name for it is "partial 16S rRNA". It matches the Rfam family "Bacterial small subunit ribosomal RNA", at positions 355 to 511 of the family's 1533-position model. The record is from RNAcentral.